This 75-nucleotide transfer RNA is filed under the name Marmota monax (woodchuck). Its description in RNAcentral is "tRNA.Ala". Lineage: Eukaryota; Metazoa; Chordata; Mammalia; Rodentia; Sciuridae. The record is from RNAcentral.
GUUGGGAAUAUAGCUCAGUGGUACAGCACUUACCUAGCGUGCCUGAGGCCCUGGGUUCAAUUCCCAGUGCCAACA